This 366-nucleotide ribosomal RNA is filed under the name uncultured organism. RNAcentral's name for it is "bacterial SSU rRNA". It matches the Rfam family "Bacterial small subunit ribosomal RNA", at positions 526 to 896 of the family's 1533-position model. The record is from RNAcentral.
CGAAGGAUCCAAGCGUUAUCCGGAAUCAUUGGGUUUAAAGGGUCCGUAGGCGGUUUAAUAAGUCAGUGGCGAAAGCCCAUCGCUCAACGGUGGAACGGCCAUUGAUACUGUUAAACUUGAAUUAUUAGGAGGUAACUAGAAUAUGUAGUGUAGCGGUGAAAUGCUUAGAGAUUACAUGGAAUACCAAUUGCGAAGGCAGGUUACUACUAAUGGAUUGACGCUGAUGGACGAAAGCGUGGGUAGCGAACAGGAUUAGAUACCCUGGUAGUCCACGCCGUAAACGAUGGAUACUAGCUGUUGGGAGCAAUCUCAGUGGCUAAGCGAAAGUGAUAAGUAUCCCACCUGGGGAGUACGUUCGCAAGAAUG